Molecule: non-coding RNA, 27 nt
Filed under: Alexandrium minutum
Lineage: Eukaryota; Dinophyceae; Gonyaulacales; Pyrocystaceae
Source: RNAcentral
UCGAGUUGCUCUACUGGCCCAUCCUCG